Molecule: ribosomal RNA, 465 nt
Filed under: uncultured bacterium
Lineage: Bacteria
Description: partial 16S ribosomal RNA
Rfam family: Bacterial small subunit ribosomal RNA
Source: RNAcentral
CCUACGGGAGGCUGCAGUGGGGAAUAUUGCGCAAUGGGCGAAAGCCUGACGCAGCGACGCCGCGUGAGUGAUGAAGGUCUUCGGAUCGUAAACCUCUGUCAGCAGGGAAGAACGGUCACUGUGCUAAUCAGCAGUGAAUUGACGGUACCUGCACAGGAAGCACCGGCUAACUCCGUGCCAGCAGCCGCGGUAAUACGGAGGGUGCGAGCGUUAACCGGAAUUACUGGGCGUAAAGCGCUCGUAGGCGGUAUGUCAAGUCAAGGGUGAAAUCCCCGCGCUCAACGUGGGAACUGCCUUUGAAACUGGCAAACUGGAGUGUGUGAGAGGAUAGUGGAAUUCCAGGUGUAGGGGUGAAAUGCGUAGAUAUCUGGAGGAACAUCAGUGGCGAAGGCGACUAUCUGGCACAUAACUGACGCUGAGGAGCGAAAGCGUGGGGAGCAAACAGGAUUAGAUACCCCUGUAGUC